GCAAGUCGAGCGGUAAGGCUUUCACAGAUUAUUUAAACGGUUAAGUCCCUAGGGAUACUAACAAGACAACACAUACUCACUAGGCUAGUGAACAGUGGUUGAAUAAUGUGUGAAAAGUACACGAGCGGCGGACGGCUGAGUAACGCGUAGGAACGUACCCCAAAGUGAGGGAUAAGCACCGGAAACGGUGUCUAAUACCGCAUGUGAUCUAAGGAUUAAAGCCUUCGGGCGCUUUGGGAGCGGCCUGCGUAUGAUUAGUUUGUUGGUGAGGUAAUGGCUCACCAAGACUACGAUCAUUAGCUGGUCUGAGAGGAUGAUCAGCCAGACUGGGACUGAGACACGGCCCAGACUCCUACGGGAGGCAGCAGUAGGGAAUUUUCCACAAUGGGCGAAAGCCUGAUGGAGCAACACCGCGUGCAGGAUGAAGGCCCUAGGGUCGUAAACUGCUUUUAUGAGUGAUAAUUAUGAUAGUAGCUCAAGAAUAAGGGUCGGCUAACUACGUG
This 503-nucleotide ribosomal RNA is filed under the name uncultured bacterium. Its description in RNAcentral is "bacterial SSU rRNA". It matches the Rfam family "Bacterial small subunit ribosomal RNA", at positions 57 to 507 of the family's 1533-position model. The record is from RNAcentral.